GCCUGAGUGGCUCAGUCAAUUAAGCAUCUGACUCUUGAUUUUGGCUCAGGUCAUGAUCUCAUAGUGCAUGGGUUCGAGCCCCAUGUCAGGCU
Molecule: transfer RNA, 92 nt
Filed under: Felis catus (domestic cat)
Lineage: Eukaryota; Metazoa; Chordata; Mammalia; Carnivora; Felidae
Also listed under: 2 other names
Rfam family: tRNA
About the family: Transfer RNA (tRNA) molecules are approximately 80 nucleotides in length.
Source: Rfam by way of RNAcentral